AAAUCUUCUUCUUCCUCUGUCUAAAAUUUAUCUGAAUUCAAUUGCUGGUUAUAAUUGAUACAAUCACAAAUCCAAAUCAAUAAACCCAGAUCAACAAGAUGAAACAUAUCAGUUCAAUUGCGGCGUUUCUAGAAGUGAUUAUCAUGUCGUGCUGAUGAAUCUCAACCUCAGCCAAUCAACCGAUACUGCUUCCCACUUGACUUCGCUGCUUCUUCACAUGAGGAAACCCUAGAAGUGAAAUCUCAACCUCAGGGUCAAAGCUGCCUCUUAAAUGGGUCAAAAUUGUCUAAGAAAGUGGCUGCCUAUCAAUAUGGAGCAACAAAGGUGGAUACUGAUCUUGCUGGCUAACGGUUCUGGGAGCGAAAAGGAGAUCAAAAGGCCAUCGUAUGGCUUCAUUAUCGUACAUGGGAAAUUUGAGAUGAAUCUGAUUGAUGAACAAAAUCUCAGUUUACAGCAAUUUGUAGAAUCCUUAACCCUCUGUUUUCUUGAUGUGGACUGUCAAAAAAAAGUCACAAAUCCGGAUUGAGAAUAAAGUUCACGAUUACAUGAACUCACAAGCCAAAUUCGAAGACAAGAUGUGGGCGAAUCUGAAUGUCUGGCUGAUUGAAGAUCAACUAUGGAUAAUCUUUCUAGAGUCACUCACAAGAUGAAAGAUAUUGACAUCGACAUCCAGAUGGAUAGUCAGUUCUAAUGACACGUUGAAUUAUCGACACAAUGUAACCAGUAAGGUCAAAGAAAGAAGUGCAUCGUCGGGUCAGUUGAGCAAUGAGGAAAAGCCGAAUCGUCAAGAGAAUAAAAACCCAGAUGUCAAAGUUCAAAAGCCGAAAGAUGAAGCUUCGGAAACACUUCAAAAAGAGCAUAAAUGGUGAUUACACGGCGGAGCCGCCGGUUCAGAACAUAGUGGCUAAGGAUGUUCACGGGAAGUUGUGGAAGUUCCAGCAUAUUUACCGGGGUACGCCUCGCAGGCAUCUCUUGACAACUGGUUGGAGUAAUUUUGUCAACCAGAAGACGUUGGUGGCGGGUGAUUUGAUCGUGUUUUUGAGGGCGGAUAAUGGCGAUUUUUGUGUGGGGAUUCGAAGGGCGAAGAGGGAUUUCGGAAGGGGGUUUGUCGAGUCGAAUUGUUCCUGGUGGAAUGCUGCGAUUAGCGGGUUUGGGAAUUCCGGGAAGGUGAGUGAUACGGGUAAAUGAUCGAUGGUUUAGAUGGCAGUGGAUGGAGAUGUUGUUAGGAAUCAGUGGAUCCAUCAACAGUGGAUGAACAACAGAGGUUGUUAAUAACAGUGGAUUAGCAGCAGAGGUGGUUAGCUAACAGUGGAUCAACAACAGAGGUUGUUAGUUAACAGGGGUUAGCAGCAGAGGUUGUUAGUUAACAGGGGUUAGCAGCAGAGGUUGUUAGUUAACAGGGGUUAGCAGAGGUUGUUAAUAACAGUGGAUCAGCAACAGAGGUUGUUAGUUAACAAGGGUUAGCAACAGAGGUUGUUAGUUAACAGGGGUUAGCAACAGAGGUUGUUAAUAACAGUGGAUUAGCAGCAGAGGUGGUUAGCUAACAGUGGAUCAGCAACAGAGGUUGUUAGUUAACAGGGGUUAGCAACAGAGGUUGUUAGUUAACAGGGGUUAGCAACAGAGGUUGUUAGUUAGUUGGGGUUAGCAACAGAGGUUUGUGUGGAGAAUCGUAUGCAACUGUUGUUUAAUGUUUUUGAUUUAAUUCGCUGUUCAUGUUGUUUGAGAGCACCAAUGGGAAAUUGUCGGACUAGAGGCGGAGUUGUCCGCGGGAAAAGAGAUUCUGGUGUACCCAAUGAGACUGGUGAGUAAGAUUCAGAAGUCGUCUUCUUCUCCAAUGGCUAUCUAGGUUGAUUUCUGUUACAGAUUGGGGUUUUUCAGUGUUUUUGAUAGAAGGUCAUUUAUUGAUCGGUUGCUGCGUUCUCAUAUUUUCGAAGUCGUUACACUUUGCGCAGGUACCAUUUCCGUUUUAUCUUCUGUUGCUUACAAUCACCAUUCUGAAAUCAUACAUGAUGAUUUCAACGACAAUUAACAUUCUUAGCGGUUAUGAUUGUGCUUCUUCUCACUGGUUAUUGUCAUUCGGAAACAUGAAGUGGCUGUACUACUGUAGUAAAGAUGCUUGGAAGUAUACCACAAUGAAACAUGAUGAAUACCACCUGUCAUAUCUUUCCGAAUCUCUACUUCGGUUUUCACAUCAUCAUAAAAGUCGACAUAUAUAUUUUUAUGGGUUGCAGAUGGAUUUUCAUAACACUGGAAGUGGGCCGAGUUCCUAGAUUAACAGAGGCCUUUGGUUUCACUAUUUCUUGAAUGAAAAAUGGAAGUGUCUUUGCAGAUCUAUGCAAAAGGAAGAAAAACAUGAGCACCCUCAUGUACCCUCCAUUUAAAAUCUGCGUAAAUGAUAGCAAGAUACUUCGAAAAUCUGGUGAGGGCACUAGAGAAUGGUCUUGCGGAUUUUGACUCGCACGAGGGUGCAGCAGGUGGUUCAAGUAGCAAGGUUAAAGUGCAGCAGGUGGCAUCAUGGAAGCCCUCAAAUUGGAAUCUAGUCCGAGAGUUGUGCCUAUGUCGUUUGUCACAACGUCUGGCCCGUUUUGCUGUUUUUGUCCAUGAGUUAUGGGCCCUGUAAGACGAGUAUGCCUAUCGCAAAUGUGUGCAAAGGUGGUGCAACGAGUAGGGAAACACCAUAUGCGAAAUUUGCCUCGAGCCAUUCAAGCCCGGAUAUACAUCACCACCUCCGUUAUUCCAUUGUGAUGGCAUUCCAAUGAAUUUCAGGGGUAAUUGGGAGAUUUCCGGUCGGGAUCUAUACAGUUUGCGGGUUUCAUCAAUGGGUUAUGCUGGUGAUGAUGAACCCAACUUUGAUGAGUAUAUCACUCUUAGCUCCAAAAGUUUGAUUUGUUGCUGUGUACUUGCUAUAAUUUUUAUGACUCUUCUCGUAUUGCGCCACGCUCUACCGAUCAUCAUCAAUGGAACACGAGGAUACACUGUAACCAUUUUUGGGUUAGUCUUGAUGUUGCGGGUUAUUACGGGUCAAGUACGGGUCGAGUUGGUUGACCGUUUAGUUUAAAUGGGUCACCAAGAAUAAGGCGGGUCAUCGGAGCAUGAUUACGGUUGCAGGUUUGAAUGGAUCAGGUCCAACUAAAGGUCAAGAGAUGUGUGGAUCUGAGUCAUGGUGGACGUUGAGGAUGACCGAGUCUUUUGGAAGCGCACGUGUGAUGCAAGUUACAAGUUGAACGUGGAGUGGUGGAGUUAAGUGUUUAUAGCAUAUUGCAAAAUUUCAUGUCAAUGAUUCAUGGCUGACUUCUUUUUCAGUUCCAAAGCCAAUCAACUGGAAUCGCAAACAACGAUCAUUCCAUCCCAGUUAUUUGUGUUACAAAUGAUGAAGAGUGGGAUCUCAAUAACAUUAAAGUUAACAAGGCCAGUUCCACCUCAAAUUAGGCCUUUGAAGCGGGUAACUCGAAAUAGAAGAACUGGGUUUUAUUUGACCUGUUUUAUGUUACAUCUGCAAUAGAAUCCGAUUUUGAUGUUAACCUUCCCGUUCACCGGACGGGUAAAGUACUAGCGAAGGUAAGGAGUCGAUGGUGUUGAAGAAGGUGGAUAGUCCGAAGCAAAAGCAGAAUUUGGGUGAGGUAACGAAAGUUGGGGGGAGGUGGAAGGCGCAAACGCCGGUUCACGAACAAUUUUACGUGCAAAAAAGAGCGGAAAAUGAAGUUGAAAAGAGGAGAUCGUAUCUACCAUAUAGAAAGGAUCUUGUAGGAUUGUUUGCAAAUGUCAACGGAAUGGGGAAAAUUCUUCCAUUCUAAUUUUGUUGUUAUGUAUCCUUUGUCAAGCAACUUGUGUCUUCAUGGAGUUGAGUUUACAUAGUUGACUUCUUUAGAAAGUCAAACUGUGUUCUCACUGAAGAAGAGUGGAUCUCGACACGAUGCUGGAUAUGAGGGUUUGGGGAUCCAGGGAGUAGUGUCGUCUACACGCCUCCAGCAUACCGAAAGAUCAGUGUAAACUCUACAGAUGGUGUUCUUUCAGAGGUUCACUUGAGUCUUGUCUGUCAGGUAUGAGAUGCAGGAUCUUCAUUUUGCGGAAACACUUCUUCAGAUGGUUACACUUUCUGAGGUUUACAUGGUAUAUGAGUAGCAGCAGCCGCCUCUACACUGCUGUUCUAAUUUAUUUGUUUGUCAUGGAUCAUGUUCGUUUCACAACAUUACAAUACCCAACCAGCGGGCCCGGACCCGGUAUAUAUGAGCAUGCUCUGUUGGUUUAGUAUAGAAAUCAUACAUGUUUGUUAUUAUAAUGUAAAGUUUGAAAGCCUAUUAAAUAGAAUGACAGGUUAUGUAAAGUUCA
Molecule: long non-coding RNA, 4329 nt
Organism: Helianthus annuus (common sunflower)
Lineage: Eukaryota; Viridiplantae; Streptophyta; Magnoliopsida; Asterales; Asteraceae
Exons: 15
Source: RefSeq, a predicted model, not a curated record